AUAUAAACUAAAUAAUAAAAAAAAAUAUAAACUAAGUAAUAUAAACUUUCCUAUAAGUAGGAAACAGUUUUCUGCCAGGCCUUUGUAGAAGGGACAGGGAUUCAGAGAUUUUCAUAGAAUCAUAGAAUCGUUAAGGUUGGAAAAGACCUCCAAGAUCAUCUGGUCCAAUCAUCCUCCUAUGACCAAUAUUACCCACUAAACCAUGUCCCUAAGCACCA
This is a long non-coding RNA of Oxyura jamaicensis (ruddy duck), 218 nucleotides long. RefSeq lists it as uncharacterized. The transcript is spliced from 3 exons. Lineage: Eukaryota; Metazoa; Chordata; Aves; Anseriformes; Anatidae. The record is from RefSeq and is a predicted model, not a curated record.